UGGGAAUUCAGGAUUUUUCUUCAUGGAGAGAUAGCAGAAAUGAGAUGCUAGCUGAUAAUUUCUUUCAAGUUGCACAAAAUGUGCAGGGUCAAGGAUUAUCCCUCAGUCUUGGCUCCAAUAUACCAUCUGGAAUUGGAAUUUCACAUGUACAAUCUCAGAAUCCUAACCAAGGUGGCGGUUUUAACAUGUCCUUUGGAGAUGGUGAUAAUUCCCAACCAAAAGAACAAAGAAAUGCUGAUUAUUUUCCUCCGGAUUAUCCUGGAAGAGACUUGGAUGCUAUGAAAGGGUAUAAUUCUCCAUAUGGUACGUCGAGUAUUGCAAGGACCAUUCCCAGCUCGAAGUAUUUGAAAGCAGCUCAAUAUUUGCUUGAUGAGGUUGUUAGUGUCAGAAAGGCCAUCAAGGAGCAAAA
Molecule: unclassified non-coding RNA, 409 nt
Filed under: Hevea brasiliensis (rubber tree)
Lineage: Eukaryota; Viridiplantae; Streptophyta; Magnoliopsida; Malpighiales; Euphorbiaceae
Source: RNAcentral